AUACGUAGGUCCCAAGCGUUGCGCGAUCUCACUGGGCGUAAAGCGUCCCCAGCCGGUCCGGUAAGCGGAUUGUCAAAACCCGCGGCUCAACCGCGGUAGGGCAACCCGAACUGCCGGACUUGAGGCAAGCCCAGGCAGGCGGAAUUCCCGGUGUAGCGGUGAAAUGCGUAGAUAUCAGGAGGAACACCAAAGGGGAAGCCAGCCUGCUGGGGCUGCCCUGACGGUCACGGACGAAAGCUGGGGGAGCAAACCGGAUUAGAAACCCUAGUAGUCC
This 274-nucleotide ribosomal RNA is filed under the name uncultured bacterium. RNAcentral's name for it is "partial 16S ribosomal RNA". It matches the Rfam family "Bacterial small subunit ribosomal RNA", at positions 523 to 796 of the family's 1533-position model. The record is from RNAcentral.